GGGACCGUGGGGUAGCUUGGUAUCCUCCGGGCCUUGGGUGCCCGCAACCGCGGUUCAAAUCCGCGCGGUCCCA
This 73-nucleotide transfer RNA is filed under the name halophilic archaeon J07HX64. RNAcentral describes it as "tRNA-Pro". It matches the Rfam family "tRNA". Rfam says of the family: Transfer RNA (tRNA) molecules are approximately 80 nucleotides in length. Their secondary structure includes four short double-helical elements and three loops (D, anti-codon, and T loops). RNAcentral also lists the same sequence under 1 other name. Lineage: Archaea; Methanobacteriati; Methanobacteriota; Halobacteria; Halobacteriales. The record is from RNAcentral.